Molecule: ribosomal RNA, 497 nt
Filed under: uncultured bacterium
Lineage: Bacteria
Description: partial 16S ribosomal RNA
Rfam family: Bacterial small subunit ribosomal RNA
Source: RNAcentral
GAUGAACGCUGGCGGCGUGCCUAAUACAUGCAAGUCGAGCGAACGGACGGGAAGCUUGCUUUUCUGAUGUUAGCGGCGGACGGGUGAGUAACACGUGGAUGACCUACCUAUAAGACUGGGAUACCUUCAGGAAACCGGAUCUAAUACCGGAUAAUAUUUUGAACCUCAUGGUUCAAGAGUGAAAGACGGUCUUGCUGUCACUUAUAGAUGGAUACGCGCUGCAUUAGCUAGUUGGUAAGGUAACGGCUUACCAAGGCAACGAUGCAUAGACGACCUGAGAGGGUGAUCGGACACACUGGAACUGAGAAACGGUCCAGACUCCGACGGGAGGAAGCAGUAGGGAAUCCUACGCAAGGGGCGAAAGCGUGACGGAGCAAAGCCGCGUGAGUGAUGAAGGACUUCGGAUCGUAAAACUCUGUUAUUAGGGAAGAACAUAUGUGUAAGUAACUGUGAACAUCUUGACGGUACCGAAAGAGAAAGCCACGGCUAACUCCGUG